GACGGACGCUGGCGGCGUGCUUAACACAUGCAAGUCGAACGGAAAGGCCCUGCUUUUGUGGGGUGCUCGAGUGGCGAACGGGUGAGUAACACGUGAGUAACCUGCCCUUGACUUUGGGAUAACUUCAGGAAACUGGGGCUAAUACCGGAUAGGAGCUCCUGCUGCAUGGUGGGGGUUGGAAAGUUUCGGCGGUUGGGGAUGGACUCGCGGCUUAUCAGCUUGUUGGUGGGGUAGUGGCUUACCAAGGCUUUGACGGGUAGCCGGCCUGAGAGGGUGACCGGCCACAUUGGGACUGAGAUACGGCCCAGACUCCUACGGGAGGCAGCAGUGGGGAAUAUUGCACAAUGGGCGGAAGCCUGAUGCAGCAACGCCGCGUGCGGGAUGACGGCCUUCGGGUUGUAAACCGCUUUCGCCUGUGACGAAGCGUGGGUGACGGUAAUGGGUAAAGAAGCACCGGCUAACUACGUG
Molecule: ribosomal RNA, 468 nt
Filed under: uncultured bacterium
Lineage: Bacteria
Description: partial 16S ribosomal RNA
Rfam family: Bacterial small subunit ribosomal RNA
Source: RNAcentral